RNAcentral lists this ribosomal RNA (468 nucleotides) under uncultured bacterium. RNAcentral's name for it is "partial 16S ribosomal RNA". It matches the Rfam family "Bacterial small subunit ribosomal RNA", at positions 28 to 507 of the family's 1533-position model. The record is from RNAcentral.
GACGAACGCUGGCGGCGUGCUUAACACAUGCAAGUCGAACGGAAAGGCCCUGCUUUUGUGGGGUGCUCGAGUGGCGAACGGGUGAGUAACACGCGAGUAACCUGCCCUUGACUUUGGGAUAACUUCAGGAAACUGGGGCUAAUACCGGAUAGGAGCUCCUGCUGCAUGGUGGGGGUUGGAAAGUUUCGGCGGUUGGGGAUGGACUCGCGGCUUAUCAGCUUGUUGGUGGGGUAGUGGCUUACCCAGGCUUUGACGGGUAGCCGGCCUGAGAGGGUGACCGGCCACAUUGGGACUGAGGUACGGCCCAGACUCCUACGGGAGGCAGCAGUGGGGAAUAUUGCACAAUGGGCGGAAGCCUGAUGCAGCAACUCCGCGUGCGGGAUGACGGCCUUCGGGUUGUAAACCGCUUUCGCCUGUGACGAAGCGUGAGUGACGGUAAUGGGUAAAGAAGCACCGGCUAACUACGUG